Molecule: ribosomal RNA, 465 nt
Filed under: uncultured bacterium
Lineage: Bacteria
Description: partial 16S ribosomal RNA
Rfam family: Bacterial small subunit ribosomal RNA
Source: RNAcentral
CCUACGGGAGGCAGCAGUAGGGAAUCUUCCACAAUGGGCGAAAGCCUGAUGGAGCAACGCCGCGUGGGUGAAGAAGGUCUUCGGAUCGUAAAACCCUGUUGUUAGAGAAGAAAGUGCGUGAGAGUAAAUGUUCACGUUUCGACGGUAUCUAACCAGAAAGCCAUGGCUAACUACGUGCCAGCAGCCGCGGUAAUACGUAGGUGGCAAGCGUUAUCCGGAAUUAUUGGGCGUAAAGGGAUCGCAGGCGGUCUUUUAAGUCUGAUGUGAAAGCCUUCGGCUUAACCGGAGUAGUGCAUUGGAUACUGGGAAACUUGAGUGCGGAAGAGGAGAGUGGAACUCCAUGUGUAGCGGUGAAAUGCGUAGAUAUAUGGAAGAACACCAGAGGCGAAGGCGGCUCUCUGGUCUGUAACUGACGCUGAGGUUCGAAAGCGUGGGUAGCAAACAGGAUUAGAUACCCUUGUAGUC